This is a long non-coding RNA of Talpa occidentalis (Iberian mole), 2040 nucleotides long. RefSeq lists it as uncharacterized. The record is from RefSeq and is a predicted model, not a curated record. The transcript is spliced from 3 exons. Lineage: Eukaryota; Metazoa; Chordata; Mammalia; Eulipotyphla; Talpidae.
GGAAACAGACGUGUCUUUCCCUCCAGCUCUAAAUACAUCGCGUGCUCAGCAGCACUGUCUCCUGGUCCUCUCCGCCGGAGUCCUUGGCCACUCUGAAGAGUGAAUUAGGUUUCCUUGUUCCUGCUGUCAUUACAGGGCAGUUUGGGGCAAGGCUGGAGUUCCCCACAGCAAAGUCCACCGACCUCUGAGACUGGAGAAUUGAACUGUUCACUGUCUAUUGCCACUUGCAGGAGGUCAGCAGUGCCAGGACAGUGCCUUGACCAGAUGUUGCAAAGAGGAUGCUAUAGCGGGCAGGAUGCCAGUGAGAAGUAGAGGAGAGGAGAUGCCACCCCCAUCUCUGCGGUGAGGAGGAGCCCAGGACUACAAAUCCCAGCAUGCCGUUAACUGGACUUCCUGAAUGGGGGCAGGUCACAUGCAAACACCUGUGCUCAAGGCAGCACCUGCACUGAAUGAACUUCAACUUGUUCCCAACGAUUGCCUUCAAGUAUGGCGUGGUGGUGAGGAGCGCGGAUGAUCGCUCACAGGCAGCCUCUGCCCUCAGCGGCUGUGUGUCUUGGCUAAGUUCCUUAACCUCUCUGGGUCUCGGCUUUCUCGUUCAUCCAUCGGGAACGAUAAUACUCCAUGCCUGGCUCCUGUGAGGGUUAAAUGAGAUGAUCGAGAUACAGUUCUUAGACCUGACCCAACAGUAAGUACUGGGCAUUACCUGUUGCAGAAAGCCCUGUCUUAACUACACCCUGUCUGCUUUCGAUGUGCCUGCCUGAUGGCUCACGUUCCUGCCUGCCUUCCUCCUGCUUUUAUUUGAGUCUUUUCUGUCCAUCUGGGACACCCAGGAAACGGGCUGGGUCCUGGUGUCAGAUGGCCCCUGUUCUCACCUAGGAAGCACAGUUGAUUUUUUUUUAUUUAUGCAUACAAGAGCUGGGGUACAGGCCAGAGGCGCAGGAGGGUGAGAGAAUCCACCAGAGACAGAGCGGAGAACAGAACAGGCAGACUGACUGAAAUACACUGCAGAGGGGAGCAGCGGGUGAGACAGGAGAGGUCUGCCCAGCCAUGUGGGAAUCUCCCUGGCCAGCUGGGAUUGAACCUGCCCUGCAGAGGCUGAAGACAGAUUCACAGUGCUGCGCUCAACCCACUGCACCACCAGGGGAGGCCCUAGGGGGCACAGCUGAUUUACUGGGGAGUGCGUCCCCCUCUGUGAGACAUUUAGGCCUCAUAGAAGUGUUCAAAGUCAAAUAGGCUCUCCGGUGCUUAACAAUCGGCAGAUGCCGUUAAGUCAAGUCUUGUUAGGUCUUUCUGCUUAAACAUCCCCUCUGAGCUCCUCUCCUAACUGCUGAUUCUACCAUUUGUCUGACCAUUCAAUGACCUGGUCAUGCUUCGUGUCUCCUCUUAUUAUUAUUUUCUUGCUUGGAACUACUGUUGAAGUAUUAUCACCCCCUCGCGUUUCAAGCACAGGUGGGGUCCUCCUCCCUGCGCGGGGAGUCUGCACACCACUCCUGACCUGGCCACAGUGACUGGGCUGCCCCUCUGGUCCCGGCUUCAUUUCCCAGCCCUCACUGUCUUUUCACAGCCGCCCCCUGGCCUGGCAGCCCCGGCUCUGAGGCCGCAGCUCUCUCUUAAGUGAUUUUUGUUUUCUUCUGUGUCUUCACCCUGUAGGGUAGCCUCUCCCUCUCUGGCUUGGGACUUUGUCUUUGUCUACCCGCCCCACUGACCUGUUGUGAGGUUGUCCAGGGCCUGCAUUGAGAGCUGGGUGAGGGCAGAUAAGGGUCUUCUCAGAAGCUGCUGCCUGGCUGGGUGUCUUCUUCACCUCUUUCUUCUCUGUGAAAGCAAUUGUUUUCCAAGAAACAUUUCAACGGUCCUCUGUGUGGGACAUUUCCUCACCUGAGAUAAGACCUGGGCGUCUGUUCUAAGGAGAAGGGGUUAGAAGGGAGUGGAAAAGCUCCUGGCUGAUAGACCACUUCUGGCCCCAAGGGGGUGAAGAUGGGGCUGCGUUGGUGUGCAUGGAGACAUGGCUCAUCUGGAAGAGGGGCUGCUGGUACUGCCUGG